GGUUUCGUGGUGUAGUUGGUUUAUCACGUCAGUCUAACACACUGAAGGUCCCCGGUUCGAGCCCGGGCGAAAUCA
Non-coding RNA from Coniochaeta sp. PMI_546, 75 nucleotides. The record is from the annotation of a GenBank genome assembly. Lineage: Eukaryota; Fungi; Ascomycota; Sordariomycetes; Coniochaetales; Coniochaetaceae.